AGAGUUUGAUCAUGGCUCAGGAUGAACGCUGGCGGUAUGCUUAACACAUGCAAGUCGAACGGUGUCUUCGGACAUAGUGGCGGACGGGUGAGUAACGCGUGAGAAUCUACCAUCAGGUUCGGGACAACAGUUGGAAACGACUGCUAAUACCGAAUGGACCGAAAGGGGAAAGAUUAAUUGCCUGAUGAUGGGCUCGCGUCUGAUUAGCUAGUUGGUGGGGUAAAGGCUUACCAAGGCGGCGAUCAGUAACUGGUCUGAGAGGAUGACCAGUCACACUGGGACUGAGGCACGGCCCAGACUCCUACGGGAGGCAGCAGUGGGGAAUUUUCCGCAAUGGGCGAAAGCCUGACGGAGCAAUACCGCGUGAGGGAGGAAGGCUCUUGGGUUGUAAACCUCUUUUCUCAGGGAAGAACAAAAUGACGGUACCUGAGGAAUCAGCAUCGGCUAACUCCGUGCCAGCAGCCGCGGUAAUACGGAGGAUGCAAGCGUUAUCCGGAAUGAUUGGGCGUAAAGCGUCCGCAGGUGGCUAUGCAAGUCUGCUGUCAAAGCCUGGGGCUUAACCCUAGAGAGGCAGUGGAAACUGAAUGGCUAGAGUACGGUAGGGGUAGAGGGAAUUCCCGGUGUAGCGGUGAAAUGCGUAGAGAUCGGGAAGAACACCAGUGGCGAAAGCGCUCUGCUAGGCCUGUACUGACACUGAGGGACGAAAGCUAGGGGAGCGAAUGGGAUUAGAUACCCCAGUAGUCCUAGCUGUAAACGAUGGAUACUAGGCGUUGCUUGUAUCGACCCAAGCAGUGCCGUAGCUAACGCGUUUAAGUAUCCCGCCUGGGGAGUACGCCGGCAACGGUGAAACUCAAAGGAAUUGACGG
RNAcentral lists this ribosomal RNA (866 nucleotides) under uncultured bacterium. RNAcentral's name for it is "bacterial SSU rRNA". It matches the Rfam family "Bacterial small subunit ribosomal RNA", at positions 8 to 916 of the family's 1533-position model. The record is from RNAcentral.